CACUGACUCUCUUUGCGUGAUGUGUGGUGGGGGGAAAUCCAUGAAUUUAUCAGGCCAAAAACAACCUGGUCAGCUCCUCCCCUCACUCCUGGCCCCGGCAGGGGGGGGGGUUGGCUUUGGAGACCCUUAGUAAUCUCAGGCCAAUCACAUGGCCCUGUGGCAGCAACAACUCCUUCGAAUGCCUGCCCUAUCACUUUCAUGGUAGUCACUGUGCCUACCAUGGUGACCAUGAGUGAUGGGGAGUCAGGGUUCAAAUCUGGAGGGGAGUCUGAGAAAUGGCCUCCAAACCAGGAAGGCAGCAGGAUGGCAAAUUACCCACUCCGUCCCAGUGAGGUAGUGAUGAAAAAAAUACGAACUCUUUCGAGGCCUGUAUUGGAAGAGUCUCUUUAAUCCUCCACGAGGAUCAUGGAGGCAAGUCUGAUGCCAGAGGCAUUGUAAUUCUACCUCCAAUGGCAUAUAUAAGUUGCUGCAGUUAAAAAGCUCAUGUUGGAUCUUGGGA
Molecule: non-coding RNA, 499 nt
Filed under: Sus scrofa (pig)
Lineage: Eukaryota; Metazoa; Chordata; Mammalia; Artiodactyla; Suidae
Description: Eukaryotic small subunit ribosomal RNA
Rfam family: Eukaryotic small subunit ribosomal RNA
Source: Rfam by way of RNAcentral